RNAcentral lists this ribosomal RNA (137 nucleotides) under uncultured bacterium. RNAcentral's name for it is "partial 16S ribosomal RNA". It matches the Rfam family "Bacterial small subunit ribosomal RNA", at positions 355 to 509 of the family's 1533-position model. The record is from RNAcentral.
UGGGGGAUAUUGCACAAUGGGGGGAACCCUGAUGCAGCGACGCCGCGUGGGUGAAGGAGCGUUUCGGCGCGUAAAGCCCUAUCGGCAGGGAAGAAGAUGACGGUACCUGACCAAGAAGCCCCGGCUAACUACGUGCC